GAUGAACGCUGGCGGCGUGCUUGAUACAUGCAAGUCGAACGCAUCGGCAAAGCCAAGGUGUCCUGGCGGAACCGGAGGGCGAGAAAUCGUUCAAAGGGGACAAAGGGGCAAAGAGGCGGAGCUGGUGAGUGGCGGACGGGUGAGUAACACGUAGGUGAUCUGCCUCAAAGUGGGGGAUAACUGUUCGAAAGGGCAGCUAAUACCGCAUGUGGUCCUUGGGAGACCGAGGAAGAAAGGCGAGAGUCGCUUUGAGAUGAGCCUGCGGCCGAUUAGCUAGUUGGUGAGGUAAAGGCUCACCAAGGCGAAGAUCGGUAGCUGGUCUGAGAGGAUGAUCAGCCACACUGGGAUUGAGAACGGCCCAGACUCCUACGGGAGGCAGCAGUAAGGAAUAUUGCACAAUGGGGGAACCCUGGAUGCAGGCAACGCCGCGUGGGUGAAGAAGGCUUUCGAGUUGUAAAACCCUUUUCUGUGGGAUGAGGAAGGACAGUACCACAGGAAA
RNAcentral lists this ribosomal RNA (499 nucleotides) under uncultured bacterium. Its description in RNAcentral is "bacterial SSU rRNA". It matches the Rfam family "Bacterial small subunit ribosomal RNA", at positions 28 to 487 of the family's 1533-position model. The record is from RNAcentral.